UGGUUCCGGCAUCGAUGAAGAACGCAGCGAAAUGCGAUAAGUAAUGCGAAUUGCAGAAUUCAGUGAGUCAUCGAAUCUUUGAACGCACAUUGCGCCCUUUGGUAUUCCGAAGGGCAUGCCUGUUCGAGCGUCAUUGUCACCCCUCAAGCCUGGCUUGAUCUUGGAUUCCAUCGUAACAGGUGGAUCCUAAAGAUAACGACGUUGGUGGUCGACUUCUCGGUACAACGAGCCUCCUUCGGCACGUAUCGCAGAGGUUAAUCACCUCGGUCUUAACGAUAAUUCUUUGAGAUUGACCUCGGAUCAGGUAGGAAUACCCGCUGA
Molecule: unclassified non-coding RNA, 321 nt
Filed under: uncultured fungus
Lineage: Eukaryota; Fungi
Description: partial contains 5.8S ribosomal RNA and internal transcribed spacer 2
Rfam family: 5.8S ribosomal RNA (bases 1-133)
Source: RNAcentral